Long non-coding RNA from Argiope bruennichi, 697 nucleotides. RefSeq lists it as uncharacterized. NCBI's taxonomy places the organism in Eukaryota, Metazoa, Arthropoda, Arachnida, Araneae, Araneidae. The transcript has 3 exons. The record is from RefSeq and is a predicted model, not a curated record.
UAACAGCUUUCUAAGGGGUCGUGUGACAGUUUAGUCCUGUAGUCGUGCAUGCUUUUCUCUUGUUCCUCAACUUCAUCUCUUUUCCAAGGAGUUGCGUUGGAUAUAUAAUUGCACUCACGAUCCUUGUCAAGGAUUUUAGAAGGAAAUAAAUACUUGUGGUGUGUUUUUCUUGAAUUGGGAGCUGGAUUUUUCUAAUUUCUGGAUCUUCAAGUUUUCUACUGUGGAUUUGUUUUUACAUUUAGUGGUGAAAUAAAAAAAAAAAAAAUCAAACCGGGAAAAAGUUAAGUGGUUGACGUUGGUGUUUCUCUGCUUGGAAGCAGGUUUGAAAAUACUAGAAGAGCAUCUUUCCUUGGAUUAACACUCCUUUAAAACUGUUGGAAGAUGUAGCUUCAAAAGAAAUUUGCAUCGAAUAAUACAAUUGGAAAUGGACGUGACCCCUUAUUCAGAGUUUUUGGAAAACAUGAGAAAAUUGAUUAUGAAUCAAUUAUCUGACUGUUGAAUAUUUUUCUCAAUAAAUAACUUCUAAACAACAUUUAUUAACGAUUCAUAUUAAAAUAAGUCUACUCUUAAAUAUUAAAAACAUUGAAACUGUUUUACGUUCAUCAUUUAUUGAAAGAAAGAACUGAUAUGGAAAAUAUGUCUACGAUGGGCUUGCUGCAAUGUCUAUUCAUCAUCCUCCUGAUCUCCGUCAGAAAAA